Molecule: ribosomal RNA, 292 nt
Filed under: uncultured prokaryote
Description: partial 16S ribosomal RNA
Rfam family: Bacterial small subunit ribosomal RNA
Source: RNAcentral
GUGCCAGCAGCCGCGGUAAUACGGAGGGUCCGAGCGUUAAUCGGAAUUACUGGGCGUAAAGCGUGCGCAGGCGGUUUGUUAAGCCAGAUGUGAAAUCCCCGGGCUCAACCUGGGAAUUGCAUUUGGAACUGGCGAACUAGAGUCUUGUAGAGGGGGGUAGAAUUCCAGGUGUAGCGGUGAAAUGCGUAGAGAUCUGGAGGAAUACCGGUGGCGAAGGCGGCCCCCUGGACAAAGACUGACGCUCAGGUGCGAAAGCGUGGGGAGCAAACAGGAUUAGAUACCCCAGUAGUCC